This is an RNA transcript of Venturia canescens, 3930 nucleotides long. RefSeq lists it as uncharacterized. NCBI's taxonomy places the organism in Eukaryota, Metazoa, Arthropoda, Insecta, Hymenoptera, Ichneumonidae. The transcript has 6 exons. The record is from RefSeq and is a predicted model, not a curated record.
UUUAUUUUCAUUUCACACGUUUUAUUGUGUUUCUUCAUAAUAUUUACAAUACCACGGAGCAAUCGUUCUCUAAGCUAUUUGGUUAUUCAUACUAUAUUCGGAACAAUUAGAAGUAAAGAACUAUAAAGUAUUUAGAAGUUUUCGAAAACUUUUGUUUCAAGUUUAACGAGGAUUAUAUCAACAUCCUAGUAUUCAAUCACAACAAAAGUCUCCAAAGUAUUCAAUGACAAGACGAUCAAGAUUAUUUUAUCAUGGUCAUUUCGAAUAUUCGAUUGCCUCAGAUCGAACUUCCCAAGGACGAAAUUCUUGAUGACGAAGACAAAAAAGUUUUGGAAGCUUUGGAUACUAUUCUAAAUGGUUUCAAAAAUGCACAAAAACGUACUCGUACGAUAAAAAAAGCAUUCAUUGAAUUAGAAUCUAUAACUGUGAGUCUGCUACAGAAAUUUGAAGAUGAAGAGACCUUUCCCAAGAACGAGGCAAAUAAAGUCCUUUCAAACAGAAAUCCAAUUUGUAAAUCCACAAUUUCAAAACUUCAUGAUGAUUUGAUCAGACCAGGACAAUCCAACGAUAAGCAAAAGCAAUUGGAUCAUGAAUUUCCUAGAAAAAGUUGUGAGAAUUUAGAGAUGGAAGUAAAUGCAUCGAUUUCUGGAAUUCCAAAAGUUGCCAAAAAGCAGAACAUUUCUACAGAAGAUGAAAUAGGCAAUGAAGAAAACACACCGCCAUUCAUAGACGAAAGUCCAACCUAUAAUGAUUUAUCCAUACAUUCUAAUGAGGCUAAGGCAAUAAAAAUUAGCUUGGCUAAAACGAUUUUCACUCCAGAAAUACAGAAGCACCGCAAAACACCAAAAUCCAAAUCCCUGAAACAAGCGACCCUUGUUUUCCAGCCAGUCGUAACGAAAACUGAUCUCACAUUGUCACAGAAGAAAGGAACAAGAAACCCAAAUGUUGCUCACAAUUCGAGCAAUUUGUUUGACGAGGAUUAUCGUACGAAAAAAAAGGCAUCCGAUCGUGCCACUGGACAUAGUAAGAAAACAGAACUGGUGGAUUUGACGACACAAAAUGAACAAUUGACUUCAACUCCGAACGCAAAGGAGGUCAAAGUUGAUCCUUUAAACGAAAAGGUUGGGAUAAAUGCUUCAAAAAAAUCAGAUUCGAUCAUCGUAAUUCCAACAGCAAGUCAAAUUGACGAAACCGCUCGUUCACUCUUCGACGACGAGGAUCACGACAAUUUUGUAGUAUCUCCGGAUAUUUUGGACACUUGUACGGAUUUCACGGCUUUUAAUAACUCUGUUAAAAAUGAUGGAAAAAAGAAUUUUGACGGGAUUGAAAAAAGUGAUUCAGUCGCAGCAGGCACAUCGAAAGCUUUACAACGCGAUUCGUUCGACGAAACUUUUUUUGCACCAGCCGAAAUGAAUGUUCUGGGAAGCGAUGCUAAAGAGAAACCGCUUCUGGCUGGGUGCUCAAAGAUCACAAGCCCUCGUGAAACUCCCAACAAAGUUAGACCCUUCAAGAGAAAAUCACACGAAGAACCGUCUGGCGAUUCAGCUGACGAUUUCGAAGACUUGGCCUUGCAGGAUGUCAACUGGGACAUUGAAAUCUCAAACGACAGUUGGGUAUCUUCAAAAAAUCCCCAUGAGAGCUUUCACAUUCCACCGCAAAAAACAAAGAAAAGUCCACAAUAUGCUCACAGAGGAAACACCGAAAGAAAUAUGGCAAAAAGGAGCAAAUUACGUGGUUGGGACUGUCCGCAAUGUGAAAAGUACUAUCAAAAUAUGGAUUUAUCAGAAAGCCAGAUGGAAAAACGAAAAAACGCGUGUUCUCGUCACAGGUCGAAAUUCAAUCCGCGAUAUUUCACUCCGAAAGGUUUCUGGAACCCAGAAUUUUCGCCAGCUCCGGAUUCGAGUGACUUCAGCGAUGAUUAAUUGCGCAAAUGCAAUCAUUAUCCAGCGUCUGGGAAUUAUGCAACAAAGAAGUGAUUCCUUAUAACUGUCCAGAGAUUCCAUGGACAUGGACUUACAUGGUCGGAUCCGCAUUUGGUUCCCACGGGAGCCGGUCCAUCAGAUUUUGACGUGAAUCGAUAUCCAUGCUCAUCAUUAUUCACAAGUUUGAAACCUUUGCAUAUUUCAUUCCUUCCGAAGGCAUUGUAGGAUCGAGCAAAAGGGUCGACUUCGGCUGGCGUAGGAAAGUAAAAUAAUCGCGUGAUAAGGAAAAAUUUUCUUAUUCCAAAGGACCGAUUGACAUUGACUCACGUGGUUGAGGCCACAUUUGGUUCCAAAGGCUGCCGGUCCAAUAGAUUCUGACAAAUAUCGAUAGCCCGAUUUUGUCUUCGUCGCACAUUUCAAAUCCGCGCAUAUCUUAUCCAUGUGGAAGCCUGGUCCUGACUGCAAAGACAAUGGGACGAGACUUUUUAUACAACAGUUUUGCAAAGAUUUCGAAAGCUGGCCAUUCGUUCUUUAUUCCUUAAAACUUACGUUGCAAUAUCCCAAAUGCCCUCGCGAUUGACAUUGUUUAUGGGCGUACUGAAACCGAGAAGUGCAAUAAGAAUAUUUUAAUUCUCUUCAUUUUUGUAAGUUGAGUACAGCUCUCUAAAUAUUUAUUCUUCUUACCGGGUCAACAAUGUUGCACGUUACUGCUGAUACGGCUAGAACCGCAAAAAAGACGAGCGUAGAACGCAUGAUGGACGAACUGAGAAAACUAUUAAAGCAAAUGCUCCAUCAACUAAUGCAUUUUUAUAAAAAUAGUUCAAACGAUGACAAAAAUUUAUCCGAGUUAAUAAGAGAAAUCGUGGAAUGUAAAAUAAAUGAAAUGGUAAUUCACGGAAGCCAAAAAAUUCACAUAAAAUGGGAAAAAAAAUAUAUUCAUCGGAUCUCGUUCAUUUUACAUUCUUUAUUGGAGCACGAUUAAUCAUUUUUCGAUAGAAAUAAGAAUUCGUAAAGUACUUACCAAACGAUGUGAUGUUUAUUAGUUUUUUAAAUUAUUCAACUUUUUGAGCUUUUUUCUGUUCGUAGCAAUUUCGGAGGUUCGCCGACUGACAUCGAAUUGUGAAUUCGUCUCUUUUAUACUUCUCAUCCGACAUCAGCGAUGAUGGGAUAGAUAAUAAAUUAAUAUGUGCAAACGAAGCACAAAUGUUUGAAUUGAUAUCGAACUUCGAGAGGACUUAUUCAUGCGCGACAUCGAAAUAGUGAAAAUACGAACGCAGCGUUUAUCAUCCAAGAAGCAAUUUAUAUCUUUUUAUACGAAAUACGUACACUCCGUUAGGAUACGAUUUCCGAGAAUAAUGAGAAUUACAUUUUACUAGCGUCCCAUGAGAGAAAGAAGUUUUUUUCGGAAACGCCUCGAAGAAUGAAUAUAGGAAUCUACUGAUAAAUCAUUUCUUUCUUUCCUGCACUCGCACAGCUGUACUAAUCGUUGAUUAUUCCCAGAAGUAAAAGUCAAAUUUUUUAUCGAAAGGGAGCUGAACAAUAUCAAUAGAUUGAGGUGCCAUUAAUAAUCCUGACAUCUAAGGAACCAAAGUAGGAAAUAAAUUGAGUGCUGGUCCUAGUAGCCCAAAGUACUGGUCAUUUUCCGUUGGCUUUUUGACGAAAAUGGAUGCCACAGAACAGGAAAAACGUCCGAGUGAGAUGAAAAAAUUGUCCAUUCACUUGUUGGCUUCUCAAAUUUUUUUUAUUAUUUCAAAAAUUGAAAAGAUAAUAAAAUUGUCAAAGACGCGUAAAUUUUGCUUUGCGCGAAAUAACCUAUUUUUCAGUUUUCGUCAACAUCGAUCCAUCAAUCUUACGACUAUGGCGUGUGGCUGAGGAAAACAGAUAUUGUAAUUCAAUCGACAUAAAGCGGAGGGUAAAGUUCUAUGAUACGCCCAACGGUUUAUCCAAAAAAUACCGUGUGUAAAUUUAUGUAAAUUUACACACCAUAAUUAAAGAAUCAUUUUAUUUA